This 301-nucleotide ribosomal RNA is filed under the name uncultured bacterium. RNAcentral's name for it is "bacterial SSU rRNA". It matches the Rfam family "Bacterial small subunit ribosomal RNA", at positions 227 to 509 of the family's 1533-position model. The record is from RNAcentral.
GGGCUUGCGUUGUAUUAGCUAGUUGGUGAGGUAAUGGCUUUACCAAGGCAACGAUGCAUAUCCGAGCUGAGAGGCUGAUCGGACACAUUGGAACUGAGACACGGUCCAAACUCCUACGGGAGGCAGCAGUUAGGAAUAUUCGUCAAUGGGGGGCAACCCCUUGAACGAGCAAAUGCCGCGUGAGUGAUGAAGGUCUUAAUGAUUGUAAAACUCUUGUUGUGAAGGAAGAACGGCUAUCAUAGGUAAUGAUGAUAGAGUGACGGUACUUUUACCAGAAAAGCCCCGGCCUAACUACGUUGCC